RNAcentral lists this ribosomal RNA (253 nucleotides) under uncultured bacterium. RNAcentral describes it as "partial 16S ribosomal RNA". It matches the Rfam family "Bacterial small subunit ribosomal RNA", at positions 524 to 776 of the family's 1533-position model. The record is from RNAcentral.
UACGUAGGGUGCAAGCGUUAAUCGGAAUUACUGGGCGUAAAGCGUGCGUAGGUGGUGAGUUAAGUCUGUCGUGAAAGCCCCGGGCUCAACCUGGGAAUGGCGAUGGAUACUGGCUCGCUAGAGUGCGGUAGAGGAGAGUGGAAUUCCCGGUGUAGCAGUGAAAUGCGUAGAGAUCGGGAGGAACAUCAGUUGCGAAGGCGGCUCUCUGGACCAGCACUGACACUGAGGCACGAAAGCGUGGGGAGCAAACAGG